AGUAGCAAAUACUUUGGUGGCGACCGGCGCACGGGUGAGUAACGCGUAUGCAACCCAUCUAUCAGAGGGGAAUAACCCGGCGAAAGUCGGACUAAUACCGCAUAAAACAGGGGCACCGCAUGGUGAUAUUUGUUAAAGAAAUUCGCUGAUAGAUGGGCAUGCGUUCCAUUAGGUAGUUGGUGAGGUAACGGCUCACCAAGCCGACGAUGGAUAGGGGAACUGAGAGGUUGGUCCCCCACACUGGUACUGAGACACGGACCAGACUCCUACGGGAGGCAGCAGUGAGGAAUAUUGGUCAAUGGACGAGAGUCUGAACCAGCCAAGUAGCGUGAAGGAUGAAGGCCCUAUGGGUCGUAAACUUCUUUUAUAGGGGAAUAAAGUGCGGAACGUGUUCCGCUUUGUAUGUACCCUACGAAUAAGGAUCGGCUAACUCCGUGCCAGCAGCCGCGGUAAUACGGAGGAUCCGAGCGUUAUCCGGAUUUAUUGGGUUUAAAGGGAGCGUAGGUGGAUAUAUAAGUCAGUUGUGAAAGUUUGCGGCUCAACCGUAAAAUUGCAGUUGAUACUGUAUGUCUUGAGUGUACAAGAGGUGGGCGGAAUUCGUGGUGUAGCGGUGAAAUGCUUAGAUAUCACGAAGAACUCCGAUUG
This 645-nucleotide ribosomal RNA is filed under the name uncultured Bacteroidales bacterium. Its description in RNAcentral is "bacterial SSU rRNA". It matches the Rfam family "Bacterial small subunit ribosomal RNA", at positions 75 to 715 of the family's 1533-position model. The record is from RNAcentral. Lineage: Bacteria; Pseudomonadati; Bacteroidota; Bacteroidia; Bacteroidales.